UAUAUCAGGCAGGAGAUUCAGAAAUACAAAGACAUGUUGUCCGAAGCUGCUGACGCUCAGGAAGGGAUGGAGUUUUGGUCUUCUCAGAGUGACACUGUGUUUGAGCUUCUGAAACCUUUGGCCUUGGACCUUCUGGCAAUGCCAGCGUCACAAGCCUUUGCUGAGCGUGUCUUCAGUGUAACUGGUGACCUCUCAACUGGCCAUCGCAACAGAGCAAGAACCACAUUGGAAAGAAGUGCUUUUCUCAAGCUAAAUAAGGUCUAAAUAUACUGUGUGUGAUGGCAAUCAGGAACUGUUGUAAAAUUAGUAUUGUAUAAUUUUUCAGUUUAAAUGUUAAAACGUGUACAACUGUGAUUAAAAAUUAAUUCCUGUUCAGUUUAUUUGCAAGUUAAAAAGAUUUCAUACGUUCUAGCAAGCUAUGCCUUGUUUCACCUUAAAUACUGUACCUUUAUAUACCAUGUGAACUAGCUGGCAGGAAAGCACUUUUGUUGUAUCAGUUGGAGUUUUUUUUUUUCACAACAUUGACCUCAAAUCUAUUUAUUUUAUUAUUCUAUGUGAACUAGCUUUAAACAGCCAGCACUUGUGUUACGUUCAUAAGAAACUUUAUUUUAUUUUAUUUAUUUGUUUCCUUUGUCAGGUGUAUUUUAUUUGUUUUAAUGCAAGCAUUUGUGUUUGUGUCUUUGAACCUUAACAAUGUUCAAAAUAAAUAUGCAAAUAUUGUCAGAACA
Rhinichthys klamathensis goyatoka is the source of this 728-nucleotide long non-coding RNA. RefSeq lists it as uncharacterized. The record is from RefSeq and is a predicted model, not a curated record. The transcript has 2 exons. NCBI's taxonomy places the organism in Eukaryota, Metazoa, Chordata, Actinopteri, Cypriniformes, Leuciscidae.